Molecule: ribosomal RNA, 364 nt
Filed under: Cambarus tenebrosus
Lineage: Eukaryota; Metazoa; Arthropoda; Malacostraca; Decapoda; Cambaridae
Description: partial 16S ribosomal RNA
Source: RNAcentral
GACCGUGCAAAGGUAGCAUAAUCAUUAGUUUUUUAAUGAAGGCUAGAAUGAAUGGUUGGACAAGAAAUAAUCUGUCUUAAAUUAAUAUAUUGAAUUUAACUUUUAAGUGAAAAGGCUUAAAUAAUCUGAAGGGACGAUAAGACCCUAUAAAACUUUAUAUUGAAAAGUGAUAGGUAUAUUUUGUUUAAAGAAUUAUUACUUUAAAGUAUUUGGUUGGGGAGACAAAAAUAGAAGAUAAAGUAACUGUUUUUUUUUUAUACAAUAAUGUUUGGGUUAGUGAUCCUAAAAUGGAUUAAAGAUUAAGUUACUUUAGGGAUAACAGCGUAAUUUUCUUUAAGAGUUCUUAUCGAUAAGAAAGUUUGCG